UCAACGGAAGAUGUGUGCAUUAAGAGUAAACAUUUAUCUGAUUUUUCUUUAGGUUGGUUGUCCCUGUUUAAGCUUGUAGGGAGAUCUCUUAGGUAAAUCCGGGAGAUCACUAUCCUGAGAAGCGAUAACGAGCUCAAUUGCGAGCGAAGUCAUUGAUGCCAUGCUUCCAAGAAAAGCCUCUAAGCUUCAGGUAUAUAGAGACCGUACUCUAAACCGACACAGGUGAUCAGGUAGAGAAUACCAAGGCGCUUGAGAGAACUAUGGUGAAGGAACUAGGCAAAAUGGUGCCGUAACUUCGGGAGAAGGCACGCCGAUUUUGGUGAUGGGAUUUACUCCCUAAGCUGAGGUUGGCCGCAGAGACCAGGCCCCUGCGACUGUUUAUCUAAAACACAGCACUCUGCAAACUCGUAAGAGGAAGUAUAGGGUGUGACGCCUGCCCGGUGCCGGAAGGUUAAUUGAUGGGGUUAGCUUCGGCGAAGCUCUUGAUCGAAGCCCCGGUAAACGGCGGCCGUAACUAUAACGGUCCUAAGGUAGCGAAAUUCCUUGUCGGGUAAGUUCCGACCUGCACGAAUGGCGUAACGAUGGCCACACUGUCUCCACCCGAGACUCAGUGAAAUUGAAAUCGCGGUCAAGAUGCCGUGUACCCGCGGCUAGACGGAAAGACCCCGUGAACCUUUACUAUAGCUUGGCACUGAACUUUGAACCUAUCUGUGUAGGAUAGGUGGGAGGCUUUGAAGCGUGAUCGCUAGAUUGCGUGGAGCCAUCCUUGAAAUACCACCCUGGUAAUGUUGAGGUUCUAACUUGGCUCCUGAAACGGGAGUGAGGACAGUGUGUGGUGGGUAGUUUGACUGGGGCGGUCUCCUCCUAAAGAGUAACGGAGGAGCACGAAGGUACCCUAAGAGCGGUCGGAAAUCGCUCGUUUAGUGUAAUGGCAUAAGGGUGCUUGACUGCGAGAGUGACAACUCGAGCAGGUGCGAAAGCAGGUCAUAGUGAUCCGGUGGUUCUGAAUGGAAGGGCCAUCGCUCAACGGAUAAAA
RNAcentral lists this ribosomal RNA (1036 nucleotides) under marine metagenome. RNAcentral's name for it is "bacterial LSU rRNA". It matches the Rfam family "Bacterial large subunit ribosomal RNA", at positions 1450 to 2461 of the family's 2925-position model. The record is from RNAcentral.